This 83-nucleotide small RNA is filed under the name Salmonella enterica. Its description in RNAcentral is "partial RtT sRNA". It matches the Rfam family "RtT RNA", at positions 48 to 130 of the family's 130-position model. Rfam says of the family: This family represents a bacterial cis-regulatory element known as RtT RNA. The exact function of RtT is unknown although it is thought that it may be involved in changing the cellular response in relation to amino acid starvation. Lineage: Bacteria; Pseudomonadati; Pseudomonadota; Gammaproteobacteria; Enterobacterales; Enterobacteriaceae. The record is from RNAcentral.
UCGAGCGAAGCGAGAGAACGUUGCAUCAGCAACGGCCCGCAGGGCGAGCCACGCAGUGGCGAGUCAUCCUCUAUCACCGACCA